This 3399-nucleotide long non-coding RNA is filed under the name Homo sapiens (human). RNAcentral's name for it is "HSALNT0037503". The record is from RNAcentral. Lineage: Eukaryota; Metazoa; Chordata; Mammalia; Primates; Hominidae.
AAUGUUCUGCCUAUGCAAAGAACAGUUUCAAAUCAACCUGGAUUCGAGAGCUCAUGAAACUGAUCCUCAGCCUUCAUUUUCAGCCUUUUCCUCAAUCCUCCCCUGCACAGCCAGCUGGCUCAGCACUCUCCCCAGCAGGCCAUGCGCUCAAGUGCUUUACCUUCAACAUUUUCCCACUGAAGACCCAGCCUUCUCCUCUAGCCAAAUUAUGGUAUGCUACGUAAAAUUCCUUAGAAUUCUAUUUUAAGUGAAUUUCACGUAAGUAAAGCCCAUUGUUAAUGUCAUUGGAAAGGUUAUUUUUAAAUGAAGAGGUGUGCCAUACCCUGCCAAAUGUGAUAAUGUGUAUAGUAGCACCUAGCACAGUGCCUGGUGCAUUCUGGAUAGACAGUAAAUAUGACCUGAAUGAAUGAAAGAAUGGGCCUCACUGUCUGAUGGGAUGAGGCUCCCUGAGAAGGAGUGGGGAGUGGUGGCCUCUUUGAGGAUGACCAGCAGGCUGUUAAGCAGAAGGCUCCUUCUAGAAUUGUACUUUCCUGAGUACCUAGGACCAGCUUGGGGCCCCUCAGGCAUCUGAAUUUUUGGACCACUUUGGUUUAUAUAACCCACUUCUUAUCCAGGUUCUGUCUCUUGACAGUUUUUGUUGUUGUUGUUGUUGUUUGUUUGUUUUCUAGGUCUCACUAUGUUGCCCAGGCUGGUCUUGAACUCCUGGGCUCAAGCAGUCCUUCUGCCUCGGCCUCCAGAGUAGCUGGGACCACAGGUGCACCACACCCGACUUUGGCAGUUUUUUAACAUCUCCCAAGUCUUUAUUUUCUUGGAAGGUGAAAUAAGACAGAAGAAAAGGGUUAGAACUUUAGAACUCCAGGACCCAACCUCAGUCCUUUCAAGCACCGUCUGCAAACAGAUGCUGUGCUAGACUCAGCACCCUGUCUGGUGAAACUGCUCCUUGGGGUGACAUCGGUCGAAUGUGUGAGAGGCUUCAGCGGAUGCCCUGACUUUUACACCAUGGAAGGGCUUUCUCCUCACUCUCCAUUCUUCAUCCCACUCCAUCCAUGCGCUUUCUCCCCUCCCCAUGGGGUGGGGUGGGGGAGUCUUUCCUCCAGCUGAGAGCAGAGGCCUUGGCCAACUAGAUGUGUCUUCUGGGAUUUCACAGUCGGGCCACCUCUCACCUCUUGCACAGGCUGGUGGGUUAAAUGAAACUCCUGUAGCAACUCACAGAGCAUUUGAUUUAAAGCUAAGAUUUAUAGGAACUCACAAGUCAGAAUGGAACAAUAAUUUCCCUCCGGUUGCACUGCCACUACUGAGGAGCAAUCGCCUAAUUCCACACAGAGUUUGCUGAUUCUGUGGGCCUAACAGAGAACUCCAGAUGGGCAACUAGGAGCUAAGAAGUGCAUCCUAUGUCACCAGGAGCUAAUUUUCCCUGGAUUUUCAAAGAGGCCUCAUAUUUGACCCAUGUCAUGGCAGGGUGAAAUAUAAGUCCUUCCUGAACCCUUGGAAGCUGAACGUUGUGGACAUCAGCCAUGGGAAAUACAUUUCCUUUAAACUGAUCACCAGGCCUUAGUAUGAUCCAUGCCUUGAGUGGACAGAGACCUUUCAUGUUUGGUCAUUACUCAGCCAGACACUUCUCUGAGAGGUGAUGACUUCCCUAGGAAGGAAUAACAAAGCCCCUUUCAGGCUGUUGAUGGGCCCUGUCCACUUUAAUUUUGCAUUCAGCCUCGCUCAUUUCUGUGAGCUGAGAUUUUGAUUAUUCUGAUUUCCACGACUCCUUUUGUGAAACAGAGACACUGAGGUGAAUGCACGGGCCCAGUCCCCUCCUUUUUGAGUGUGCCCUCGGAAGCAGAGGCAGGUGGUGUUGCCGAAACACCCAGGUUCUGUCUAGGUCCUGCCGCUCCCUGCACAGAAAGCCAAUCACAGAGAUGACAAGUAUUGCCAAGGAAGAAGGCUUUAAUCAGGUGCUGUAGCUGAGAAGAUGGGAGCCCAGUCUCAAAUCCAUCUCCCCAUCCACCUAAAACUAGGGGUUUAUACACCAGGGAAGAAAGAUAACAGUGUGUAAGAAAACAGGAACUACGGAGGGGCAAGGAAGCAGUCACAAUGUAGGGUAUCUCAUUGUCUGGAUGUGUUGAUCUGUGAAAUAUGACAAACAGAGGAAAGUGCAUUAAAACCUGAGUGUUGACUGCUGGUUCCCCCAAGAUGGAGAGUCCCAUUCCUCCCAGACACUCCCUCUUACAGGUAAAAUAUCUGGACAUAACACAACAGACAGCAGAAGAAGACUCUGAAAGCUGGAGGAAGGAAGAAAAAAAGCCUAGGGACCUCAGACCUUGAAGAAUGACAGUGGAUUUCUCAUCUUGAAACCAUGGAGGCCAAAAGGAAGAGGCACAACAUUUUUCAAGUUGAAGAUAGAACUUAGAAUCACAAAUCCAAUAGCCACUGAAAACGCCCUUCAGGAAUGAAGGAGAAAUCAGACAUUCUCAGAUGAAAGAAAACUUAAGAGAACUUAUUGCCAACCUAGAAGAAAUGUGCUAAUGUCAAGAAAGCUACAAACUACCAAACUCAACGAGGAUGAUAGAGACAACCUGAAUAGUUCCAUAGCUGCUACAGAAAUUAAAGUUAUAAGCAAACGGCUCACAAAAAAGAAAUCUUCAGAUGAAAAUACUUUAAGGAGUAUUAAUACCAAUUUUACACACUCUAUCUCAGAAAGUAAAAGAAAGAACGUUUCCUGGCUCAUUGUAUAAGGCUAGUAUUACCCUGAUACCAAAAUCAGGAAAAUGCAGUACAGAAAAGAAAGUUAUAGACCACUAUCUCUAUAAAUUUAGACACAAAAUUUAUCAACAAAAUUUUGUAAACCUAAUACAGCAUCGUAUAUAAAAAAUUAUAUACACCAUGAUGAAGUGGGAUUUAUUCCAUAUAUGCAAGUUUGGUUCAAUAUUCCAGAAUCAGUCAAUGUAAUUUACUCUGUUAACCAGGUAAAGAAUAAAAAUGAUUAUAUCAUUUGAUGCAGAAAAAAAGAUUAACACAAUCCUAUGCCCAUUCACGGUAAAAAGUCUCAGCAGACUAGGAAUGGCGGGGAGUGGUGGGGACAAUCCUAAGUUGAGAAAGAGCAUCUAUUUAAAAACCUAGGCUGGGCACAGUAGCUCAUGCCUGUAGUCCCAACACUUUGAGAGGCUGAGAUGGGCGGAUUGCUUGAGCCCAGAAGUUCAAAACUAGCCUGGGCAACAUGGCAAAACCCCGUCUCUUCAAAAAAUACAAAAAUCAGGCUGGGCAAGGUGGCUCACACUUGUAAUCCCAACACUUUGGGAGGUGGAGGUGGGCAGAUCACUUGAGGUCAGGAGUUUCAGACCAGCCUGGCCAACAUGGUGAGACCUCGUCUCUAACAAACAAUACAAAAAUUAGCUGGGCAUGGUGGUG